This 1148-nucleotide long non-coding RNA is filed under the name Vombatus ursinus (common wombat). Its description in RNAcentral is "lncRNA (ENSVURG00010017665.1)". Lineage: Eukaryota; Metazoa; Chordata; Mammalia; Diprotodontia; Vombatidae. The record is from RNAcentral.
GCUUUGGGAGGGCUUAGGGAGACUGUAAAAUCAAAUCUCGUGUUACAUUAUUUUUUUCCUGGCUCACUCUUUUUGAGAAGGUUUAUGGGCUAUGUGGCUGGUGAGACACGAUCCCCUCCUCCCUAAGGAAAUGUAGGUGCUCAGACAGGUAACCUCUGCUGCUACUGUUUUUUAUUUUAUUUAAAAUUUGAUUUCAUUGUUCUAGGAUUUUAAGAAGUAAUAUAUUGCAGGAUUUAUAACCAGAUUCACUCCUUUUUCUUUCUUUUAAAAAAAUAAAUGUUUUAUUUAAAGUAUGUUAAGCGUCUUUGAAGCUUGGAUUUUGGAGUGUCUCAGUAGUAGACAAAAAUCUGCUGUUGGAAUCUCCUAGUCCUCUUCCAGAUUUGACUUGAAUUGCUUUUAAUUUUGUUUUGGGCUUUUUUGUGUGGUAUUUUAUUUCUUUUACCAAAGUCCUGUUGGUAUACUGUUUUGGGGAGGGUGCCUAACUUUAGUGUUAGACCUUCUUAUAUUAAUGAAAACUUGGCUUUUUAUUUCUUUAGUGUUUUAUUUUUUGUUUUUUGUAUUGUUUUUAAAGAAAUAUUCUAACUGUUUCCACUGUUACUGUUCUUUGCCAGCCUUUUCCGGAGCCAAAAAAAAAAAACCCAGAGAAAAAAAUUUCCUCCUUCCCCCUUCCUGAUGAUGAGUGAGAAGUUUUGAGAACUUUCGGGGUCAAUGCCUUUUUAAACUUCCCUUCCCCCAAUAAUGCAGCUCGUAUAAUGGUAAAUGCAGCAGCCUGGAUCCAUGCAGAGCCCCAGCCUGCUGGCAGCAGAGUAAUAAACUGGUAGGUGGCUGCAGUAGAAGAAGGACUUCUUCAGACUGGUGAUUGUGACCUGAAAAUUCAGCAGAGGGGGAAGUGGAACAUGAAAUAGAUGAUGGAAACAAAGGGGAAAGAGGAUGGAAGAGAGAUUAUGGCUCCUGGGAUUUACACUCUGGGUGUUUUCUUUCAGGUUUUUGAAGUAGAAAGUGAUUUUCCUACUCUGUGGUCAUUUUGGAUGAAGAUAGAUUUGACCAGAUGGACCUUAGGUGGGGCAAAACACAGAAGAAAGAAGCAACAGCCUCAACUAAUUUGACUGUAAUCAUAUUUUCAUAAUAAAAUGCUAUGAAACUAGAAC